AUGCCGUGGUGCGGGCAUGCUGUAAUGUAUUCCUAGAGAUGUUGCCAGGCUUCCGAGAUUGUCUCAUCCUGGAGUUGUUGAAAACUGGAAAUCCUAUUCCGAAGAGCAU
Molecule: small nucleolar RNA, 109 nt
Organism: Panicum hallii
Lineage: Eukaryota; Viridiplantae; Streptophyta; Magnoliopsida; Poales; Poaceae
Source: RefSeq, a predicted model, not a curated record